GGUGGCUUGGUCUACGUUGCUGGUGAAUUGCACAAACAGGCACUCUCGUGCCGCGCCGUGCAUGCAAUUCUCGGUACUUGAUUGAGCUUCUGGUAUACAUGAAAACCUUCAAGUGGGCCGUUUUUGGUAAGCAGAACUGGCGAUGAGGGAUGAACCUAUCGUCGGGCUAGGGUGCUUAAUUGCGCGCUCAUCAGACACCACGAAGCGUGUUGGUUCAUUUUGACAGCAGGACGGUAGUUAUGGAAGUCGUAAUCCGCCAAGGAGCCUGUGGCAACUCAACUGCCGAAUGAUUUUCCCCGAACAUGGAUAGCACUCAAGCUUGCGACCGAUGCCCGACCAAGGGUGCAAUUCUCUCCAGUGAGUA
This 364-nucleotide non-coding RNA is filed under the name Symbiodinium microadriaticum. RNAcentral's name for it is "Eukaryotic large subunit ribosomal RNA". It matches the Rfam family "Eukaryotic large subunit ribosomal RNA", at positions 987 to 1383 of the family's 3401-position model. The record is from Rfam by way of RNAcentral. Lineage: Eukaryota; Dinophyceae; Suessiales; Symbiodiniaceae.